AUUCUUCCUCUGCAUCUGUCUGCAUAAAACAAGCAGCCAUUUCUCAGUCAGAAAAAUGCUUAUCGAUUAGCCAAUAUUAAUUUUAAAAGACCUUUGUUAUCUUAGAGUCUUCUUGGCUCUGAGUUUUAAGUAAUUCAAGUUCUUAGUGUUCUUCCUUCUUGUCCUAAAUAUUCAUAGCACUCAAAAGAACUGAACUUUUUGAAUUCUUGCUUUUUAACUUCAGCUCAGGUCCUGGAACCUGAACGUCAAAACUACUGCUUCAGCCAGAUCACUGGUUUCAGCUUACAGUAUUAUAGUAUUUUCCUUCUUCAUUACUCACACUCACCUUCAGCAGUGAUCCUGUAUACUAGGCAAGAAUAUAGAUUUCAAAAGCAUCUAUAACAUUUGUAAGUCUUUUAAUUCUAAGCCAUCCUAUUGAAACAAAUAAAAAAUUUACUCGAAACAAAACCAUUUCUCCAAGAGUACGUAAAUGCUAUAUACUCCCAAAUGAGAAAAUCAAUGUUACUCUUCAGAAAAAAAUGAUUGCUUCUCAACUAUUUCAUUUCACUGUGCUUGGAGUUUCAAUUCCAAUGAUCAGUUCUGUCAUUUCUCACAGGCAAACACAUUUUUACAAUACGUAGUUUCAAACACAAAAAUAAAUAAGCAGCAAUGCCCAUUCCGUUAUUUCCAAACAGAGGGAUGCAUUAAAUAUUUCCUCUGAUCCAGAGCAAUACAGUUCUACAGCUUUUUCUUUGCUUUUGUUUUUAACCAGUGAAGUAGAACACACAGGUCUGAAACCUAAAGGAGGAUCUCUUGUGCUCAUUCAAUUCAAUUGUCUUUUACCCUGUUAACAGAGAAUGAUGUUCAUUACGUCUGAUACUUUCAGAAAAUGAAGAGACAGGUUAGUCUCUGCUCCUACGGUCAUAAACACCUAUGGCCAAUUGAAACAUACAGCCUACAAAUCACCCACCAGUCCAUGAUCAGACAAUGGACCUACUGAUCUGAUCCACACUUGUAGUUCACAAGCUAUAAUAAUAAUAAUUGAACAUCAUGGAUCUUCACCUGUGAGUGAACACCUCUCUUCAGUUUAAGAGAAUUUUUCAUACCAGGAAAUAGAUACUGAAUUUGAAUGAGGUAAUCAAUACAGAAGAAUGGGUAACUAGUCAUAUUAUCUGUACCAACAAAAAGCUGCUUGAAUCAAACCACUGCAAGUGCAGAAAUAACUUAAUCAUGGCAAAUGGUUCAGUACAAAAUUUGCUCCAAAACUAGACAUCAGAUUGACAGAUUCUCUCUCUGAAACUUUGCACUAAAGUAAAUAAUGAGAAUUUAGCCAGAAUCAAACUUCUGGAAAAAAGAUUAGAAAAUAAUAUAAUAUACAAUGUGAAAUUAUAUAUUACUGCCUUCAACCACAACACAUCUCCAAGAAGAAAAUGUUGCAAUGUCUGUUCUAGGCCAAGGAAGGACUGGUUGGUUUUGGAAAAGUUGGAAACAUCUCUGUAUCUCCCUGAUGCACCUGUCAUAUAUUCUGAAGAGGCUGCAGCUUGGAAAAAGUGUUCACUGGUCUUAGCUUCUCAGGCAUAAAUCAGAACAACUCUCUAUUUUGAAAUAGAUAGCAAAAAGCUAACACCAGAUUUUGCUUCUAUUGCAAAUUAGGUCACAGUUUCUAUUUACUAUGAUCAAAAUCAGGAUUUAUACACUGAAAUAAAUGAACAGAAACAUAAAUAGCUUCAAUAAACUACUCAGCAGGGAUGUCUUACGUAAGACAUUAAUUGCCAUAGCAAGCAGGCCCUUUAAAGAAUAUGUUCAAAAUAAAAAUUAGAAUUCAUUAACGCUAAUAACCAUCCUUCCUAGGCAGUUUCACUAACUUUCUGUUUUCUAUUACCUGGACUUUUACUGAACUAAGCAACCUAGAUUUAAAAAACAAACAAACAAACAAAGGGGCAGCUAUUCUGGUUCCAGAAGCAUUUACUGUGGAAAUAAAUACCCUUGUUCCCAGAAAGCGUGCUGUAUGUACAUGAAGUUAGUGCUAGGCCCAGUGCUUGGAUCACUCCACAAGCCUUAGUGAGAAAGGCUGAGGAAACCACUGAGCCUGACUGUGCUCUGGCAGACACAGGGAAGCACGAUGUGCUUGCCUUGGCCGUACAAAGGCAGGAGAACUCCUCUCUGUGCUCUACUGCGUGGCUUUUCACUGCUAAGUAUCUAGACCAAGACAUAAUUGCAUAUUUUGUACAGCUCAGUGUCUCUACAGCACUCUGUAUAUGUCUGCAUACAUCGUAUAAUUACCAUAAAGCAGGUAAUUGCUAACUUCACACCAAUGUGUUAGCAGGUCCUCAGAAAGAAAUAGUAUCACACAGAGCAGAUGUCAGAUCACACUUACACACAGAUGUCGAAUGUGUCUGUUUACCUUGAAUACAAACAUGAACCACAACCCUGAGUUUGCAUGACUGACAGCUGUUAAAACAGCUGCUGUGCUUCUUUUUCGUGCAUAAAAAAGACAGCCUGACAAUGUUUACUGUAGAUAUCUCCAGGGCAGUGAUUUUUCAAGUUUGAAGGGUCAAUCACUGAUCCACAUCAGCAGGUUGUUUUCUGAUUUUCCUUAUUCCCUGACACCCACUGAAACACGCCAAUAUCAGCGGCUGCUGGGUGUGAGACCUUCUGUUCAACUGUUUUCUUGUACAGAGCUUCAGUUUGCAAAGCUUAUGUAUUUUACACACACAGCUAAGAACAGGGUCCUACUUCUAAAUUACAAAAGACGUCUUUUCUGAAAUUUGUGUAUUUCAUAGUAGUUUCUUAGAAUGCUGUAUUUUUGGCCUAGAAUAAUUACACUUUCACUAUAAGUUUUAUUUUUGGCUGCAGGAUAAGAAGAAUGUGUAUUCAUCCACAAGCCAGCUCAGGAUCUGAGUUAGCACAGCUAUAUGCUGCUCUUAAAAUUCCAAAACUCCUUUACCUAAACCCUUUCAGGACAGUAGCAUUGUGGUGCUGUCAGCAGCGGUGUAACAUUGUCAAGAAAAAGCAGCUGUGGUAUUCAGUAUUUCCAUUAUUACCUUUUUUUAAAGCAAAAGUAAAGGCACCAUGGAAAGCCUGACCUGUAGUAACCAUUACAAUCGCAUUUUGUCUAUUACUUUCUCCUUAUAAAAUAGUAUAUAAUGCUUCUUGCUCAGCAUACUUCACAUACACAGAAAGCCACUCCUAAGAGGACUCCUGUUUCUGCCUCCAAAUUCCCUUAACUCUCAUUGUGACAAAGCAUGUGGUUCUUUCCCCAGCUUUACUGGCACCAAUGUGAAUUAUUAGGCACAGGGAUCUAAAGAAAAUGUUUAACAUUGCAACAGACUUAUUAAAAUCAAGGCUCUAUUAAAACUCAGUUUGAGAUGUUUGUAUUUGUAAUGUCUCAAUAACCUGAGGAUCACACUAACUUUACUCUAGAGAUGUCUAAAUUAUUAAUUUAAAACAAACUGACAAAUUUAUUUUUUUUUAAUUUCUCUAAAUUGCAAAGAAAUUUUAAUUCUUUUGAUAAUUAUUUGCUGAAUGUCUAUGAAUUGUUCCUUCUCCUGGGUUUUACAUAUUGGACUAAUAACUAUAUGGUGUUUGUGAUAAACCCUGUAUUUUUUUUACUGGGAUAUAAAUGCCUUCAGUGAUAGCCAUUUUUAGUCAUAUAUAUUUUUGACUACAAAUUAACAAAUACAGCUGUAUGAACAACCACCAUGCUAAAAAGUUCAAUUGAAGAAAAAAAAUAGUUUUAACAAAAAUAUAUAUGAAUAACUUCUAAAAAGGAGUACUCGUGAAUCAUACAAAGAGAUUUUAGAAGUUCCUGGGAGUUUUUGUAACUGCUGUUUCCAGUACUUCACACACUACGCUUAGAAUUCAAGAUCCAGCAUUCGGGUCAGAGUGUCCGCGGUGUGAAGCGGCACAGCUCUGCUGCUGGCACGACUUCCCUUCGCCGCAAUAAUUCCGACCAGACAGGGCUGUAGUCAUUGGUUUCCAAGUGUCAGUUCUGCAAUCUCUUGCAAGAAUAUGGAAGGAUAUAAAUCAGUGUCUCUUCUCACCUGCAUUUCUUUCCUAGUAAUUCUCCCAUUCUAGUCUUCUUACCCUGGUCCUCAACUUGAAUUCCUCAACAUCUAACUGGUUUGUAUUGACUUUCACAUCCCUGGAUAAUCUUUGUGGUCCAACUGCUUAUAAAUUGAGAAUAUAUGAGCCAGAAGCUAUUGAACAAGGGGACACAGAACUGUCCAUUAUCCUCUCAAUCACAAGCACUUUUCAAGGUAAAUCUGUACUUAAAACAUCCCUUCAUUGACUGAUGGUGCUUGUUUAUUGUACAGUAGUAGUAAAGUCUCUAAUAAUGUGGUGUUUCAUUGUCAGCAAAGAAUCUUCCGAAUUAUCACUCAGAAGUAGUUUUAAAGCAAGUGACACACUGUCAUCAGUCUGCCUUCAAGAUGACAGGCCUGGUCAAAGAGCAGCCUUAACCAACACCAAGCACCCAGGCACAGGCAGUUCCCAGAAUUAGGAACAGUCAGGCCUGGGCAUGUACUUACUGCAACUACAAGGAACCAUCAGUUCCAUGUGAAAUGGGGGCACUGCUGGAAACAGAUGUUCUAAAGCCUAAACAUACGACUGAACUGUAAAUUUUCUUUAGCAAGUUCAAGAAUUAAAAUGACACCUUUAUCCUUUUCUGCAUGAACCACUUCAAAAAAAAAAAAAAAAAAAAAAGCAAAAACCCCACCACCAACUUUAUGUUUUGGACUGUUUUGCCCAUACUGUUCUUCUGUCUUCCCUUGUUUCUUUUACAUUUAUCUCCUCUCUGUCUCCCUCACUGUCAAAAUUUUCUAAUUCCCUCCAUCACCACACUGAAGGGGCUGCUUCCCCACUCUGUCCUGUGCAGGCUCUUCGGCUGUUGUGCUUUGUCUCUCAGCUGUUCUCAUGCAAUUAAAGAAACAUGAUUUCUACCACCACUGAACAGUGUAGUACAAGCCUAUUUUAAGUACUGUUGUUCACUGUUUUACCAUGUUGCAUUUACUAUGUUAGCUAUUUUAAUAGUUUCAGAAGUCAGUUUUGUUCAGCUGUUCUAAGAAGCAGCACAGCAGAAGAGCCUUGAUAUGACAGGCUAAGACCUACACUAGAAGUCUCUUACAAACAGUUGACCAUCAGCACACCAAGGGUACCAAAACCACCUUAUGGCCUUGCUUCCUGCACAUUUAAUAGCUGCCGGAUACCCGCGGUGGCUACCACAAGUAGUAGCAGAUGCUCAGGUGCGAUAGUGAUGUUCUUGCUGGUGAGUCCCGGGGGUUACACCAACAUAGUGUGUGUUGCAGUACAGAUGGGAGUAGUAACGACAGCCUUGAUCUUGGACAGAUAGUGACUGAAGGCAGAAAUGGAAGGAUGUGACACUUUGGAAGCAACACGCUCUGGCGGCAGAAUCAGGGGAGGAUAAGCAAUUUAUAAAGUUAUGCUGUUCAAUUACUACCACUUAGAAAGGUAAAGUAAUUCUCAACAGAAUCUAUAGUUAUUUGGGCAACAUUUUGUAAUGAAAUUAUUCUUACUAAAGAGCAAUUCUUCCAUUAAAUUCAUGAGAACACAUUAUAGGAUGGCUACCCUUUUUUUUUCCCCACUGGUUGAAUAUGCAAUUUGUGCUCCUCAGUGGAUGAUAUCAUAACUCUGAAGUGUCCAGCUCCUGGGGACCAGGACAAAAUACAGUUACCCUGGGAAGCACUCACUGAAGACAGAAGGAGGGUACGAAACAUACCUAAUCACGGAUUCUAGUUGCUCAAGUGCCCUCUGUCUUUUCAGGCCAAGCCAAACACCCUGCUGUGAGAAAUUAUUGCUCAGUAGUAGUAUCAGAGGACUAAGGAAAUGGACAGAUCAUGCUCUGAUUUUCCACUCCAUCCUUCUAUUUAACCAUAUGUAUCAGUUUCUGUAUUUGUAGAACAGUACUGCAAAAUAAACGGUUCUAAAGCACUCAAAGAUACUUGCAAGAAUGAAUAUGCUAAUGUUAGUUACAGUAGACAUAUGGAGUGGAUUGCUGAAAGGUUGGGGGAUCUGAAUCACAGAAAUCUUACCAUCACUAUGUCUAUUUAAAAUGAAACUGAAGCUUGGGAGGGAAAAUUCUUUCUGAUCAUUUCAUUGCAAUAUUUGAGGAUAUUUCCUUGCCAUUUACUACUGCUUUUAAUUAUGAAGCUACACAUGAUGUUCUUCAUAGUGUCUGCAAAAAAUGGAGCAUGGAUUUUUAAUGUCAGGUACAGCCGUGCCUGUAGUGUGUUGUUAUCGCAGAAGAUGUGCCAGAAGAGAGUUCCGGCACCCUCCCAGAAGAUGAAGAAGAAAAGCUCCUGCUCACGGGUGAAUGACACAAACACUGAGGACAAACUUAAAAACCUCCUGGAGGCAAACAGUGGUUACCACGUAAUUAUGUGACAAAUAAGCCACAGCCCAUACAGUGAGCCAGCCUGAUGGAUGGGAUUUUCAGAUAUUUUUGUCUUCAUUAUUUAUAAUUUACUCAAGCAUGAUGCCAUGAGUGCUCAGUAUGAAAGUCCCUCAGCGAAGGAAGCCAGGGCAGAACUCAGUUGCAGCAUGUGCAGCCUGGCAAGGAAGUACAGAACCUCAUCUGCAUUUCACCACUCACGUUUCCAGCUCACUGUGAGAUCCAGGUGCAGAGGACAGGACCACCUUGUUGCUCUGUUUAUUUCUGAGGUGUUAGGGGGACUCAUUGGCUGUACAGUCAAAUCACAUAACUGACUAUUCACAGAAUCACAGACAAUCACAGAAUGUCAGGGAUUGGAAGGGACCUCGAAAGCUCAUCCAGUCCAACCCCCUGCUGGAGCAGGAACACCCAGAUGAGGUUACACAGGAAGGUGUCCAGGCAGGUUUUGAAUGUCUCCAGAGAAGGAGACUCCACAAACCCCCUGGGCAGCCUGUUCCAGUGUCUGUCACCCUCACUGAGAAGAAGUUUCUUCUCAAAUUUAAGUGGAACCUUUUGUGUUCCAGUUUGAACCCAUUACCCCUUGUCCUAUCAUUGGUUGUCACCGAGAAGAGCCUGGCUCCAUCCUCAUGACAUUCACGCUUUACAUAUCUGUAAACAUUAAUGAGGUCACCCCUCAGUCUCCAUGGGUAAAACCACAUUCUGUAACUUAAGUGGAGCAUAAUAGGGUCCUUUUGAGAAAAUAAAUAUAAAAGGUAGUCAGAUAAUAAAGAUUCAACCUGGAGGGAUUUUUCAGUUGCUCCUAUCACUCCCAAAAAUACAUCCAUUUUGUCAUUUUUGCUUACGUUACUUUUCAGAGUUAGAUAAUUUGUGCAUACGUCCUUGACAAGCAUGUUCUAGAUCAUGUAAUGUUAUUUCCACUGUCAAGAUUUGCCUAGAAACACUUUCACCUAUGCCCAUAUACUUUGCCACUUGGAAAGAUAUAAUAUCUUAACCCUCUUGUUUGCUAAGUUAAUAAAUCCAGGACAACAGGGCAACAGCAGAGAAAGAAAAGAGGACACUUUAGAAGAAGGGCUUUCACAAGAACAGGGUUUGGAAUUUGACAUAGCUGUGUAUUUCGUAUUUGUGAAAUGAGACAGUAAAUAUAUCAAGUAAAAAAGAUGUUGCUUCAGAUAAUGUAUAAAUAAACUAUGAGUAUACAUAUGUAUGUAUGUAAAAUGUUUUAAAAUGCAUUGUUUCAUUCGUAUGACAUGCAGUUAAAGAUCAGAAAUGAAAGCUUUCAUCAACAAAUCUGGGUCAGUGCUGACUGUCAUAUUCCUUAAAUUCUUUCAAAUGAAUAAACAAACUUCAUUGUCAAAGCGCUAAUAUACCAGUGGUUCUCAGUUUACAGCAAAAAUAAUGUUCUAGCUUUCUAUAAAAGAGCCACUGAACAGCAGACAGAGGUACUGUAGCAGGAAAACAAAGACAGGUACAGGAUGGUUCCUCCUACAUAGUCUACUAAGAGCAGCUGCAAUAAGAGAGCUCAUUAGACAAA
Long non-coding RNA from Columba livia (rock pigeon), 7919 nucleotides. RefSeq lists it as uncharacterized. NCBI's taxonomy places the organism in Eukaryota, Metazoa, Chordata, Aves, Columbiformes, Columbidae. The transcript has 2 exons. The record is from RefSeq and is a predicted model, not a curated record.